AUUUAACGAGAGUUUGAUCCUGGCUCAGGAUGAACGCUGGCGGCGUGCUUAACACAUGCAAGUCGAGCGAAG
RNAcentral lists this ribosomal RNA (72 nucleotides) under Dorea longicatena. RNAcentral's name for it is "partial 16S ribosomal RNA". It matches the Rfam family "Bacterial small subunit ribosomal RNA", at positions 1 to 71 of the family's 1533-position model. Lineage: Bacteria; Bacillati; Bacillota; Clostridia; Lachnospirales; Lachnospiraceae. The record is from RNAcentral.